Molecule: long non-coding RNA, 454 nt
Organism: Oncorhynchus gorbuscha (pink salmon)
Lineage: Eukaryota; Metazoa; Chordata; Actinopteri; Salmoniformes; Salmonidae
Exons: 3
Source: RefSeq, a predicted model, not a curated record
AGGUCAACUAAUCUGUGUCCUAAGUAGCACUCUAUUCCAUUUGCAGGGCACUACUAUCGACCAGAGCCCUAUUGGCUCUAACCCUAUGGGCCCUUGUCAGAAGUAGUGCCCUACAUAGGGGACAGGGUUCCAUUUGGGCCGAUCCAACUCAUCUGUCCAGACGUUGACUGUAAUCACUGUGUUCUGGUUUUCUCUCCAAAGGAGGCCCAAUGAUACAGACCAAUGCAGGUGCUGUGCGAGGUCGUGGCCGAGCGACGGCAGGUAGCCGUGCCCCCGGCCCCCGGGGGUCAUACCUGGGUGGUUACUCUGCUGGGCGGGGUAUCUACAGCCGGUACCAUGAAGGCAAAGCCAAGGGCCCCGACAACAAGGCCUACGAGCUGGUACCCUCUAUGGAGCUGACUGCCUCAGUCAACCCGUUGGGCAUCAAGCCUUGCACAAUGGGCCUGCAGGCUCU